This 1418-nucleotide long non-coding RNA is filed under the name Canis lupus familiaris (dog). RNAcentral's name for it is "lncRNA (ENSCAFG00845012832.1)". The record is from RNAcentral. Lineage: Eukaryota; Metazoa; Chordata; Mammalia; Carnivora; Canidae.
GUGCGGUGGCGGCGGCGGCGGCCCCGCGGAUUGUCGGCUGGCGGUGCGGAUGGACGGACGGGCCACAAAGCAUGUCGCCCUUCGCCUGCUGAACUCAGAGCGCUCGAGGAUGUCGGCGCUGAGGAAGGUCUGUAUGAGCUGUUGGCUGUUGUGCAGGCCGGCUGGGGCCACGUGUGGACAGCCAGGAAGACCUGACCUUCCUCUGGGAUAUGUUUGGUGAGAAAAGCCUGCAUUCACCGGUAAAGGUAAAACCAUGCUGAUGUCAGAUUCUCUUGGUGGGAAAACAUAUGGAAAAAUAUUUUGUCAUCUCAUGCUUUGUUCUGUCCUCCCCCUAUUCUCUAUGCAGAAGUUACUCGUCGAGCACCAUUUUCCUUUAGGUUAGUGAUUUCUGAAUUGUAUUCAUGAAACAUUUCCUUAAUGUGUGACCAAAAAGCUAUUCCCUUUUUCAUUUUCACUUUGAUUUCGCUACUCUAGAUUUUUUGUUUAUUAUGUGUGAAUCUGGAUCUCAAAAGAAAUUCUCUCAACAUUUCUUCUUUGUCAUAUUUGCUCUAGAUUAUUUUUUUCAUAUUUGCCGUUUACUCAAUUUAAGAAGUUUCCGUUUAUUCUGUGUAAAAUGACUUUUUAAAUGACUAGCCAUUGGACUUUGUCAAGUGCUUUUUAUUUAUUUAUUGUAAUGAUCAUAUGAUUUGUUUCCUGUCAGUCUCAACAUAGGAAAGUUCAUUGGUUUUUGACAUUUUUUUUUUUUUUUUACUGAUUUUUGACUGUUCAACUGGCUAUCAUUGGACUAUUAUUUGAGAUAACCUAAUUUGUUCAUGAUUUGUUCUCCUUUACAUAUAAUCUGCUGGAGUUAGUUGACUCCUAGUUUAUUUAGAACUUUAAUGUCUCCUUUUAUGAGACUUCAGCCCAUAAUUUUGCUUUCUUAUCUCUCUCAUCAGAUCUUCACAAUAUCCUGGGUAGCCUUAUGUUGUGAGGUGGAAGUCUCUACUCUUCUGUGGGUAAGUUUAUGAAAGACUGAAGUUCGUUUGUCCUUUAGCAGAACUGACUUGUUGGGUUCCUUGGGCCUGGAUGUUUUCUUUUUGAUAAGGAUAUUGGUAACUAUUUUAAAGAUGACAAGAACGUUUAGGCUUUCUAUUUCUUCUUGAUUAGUUUUAAUGAUUCAUAUUUUUCUAAGAUUUGGUCCAUUUCAACUACAUUGUCAAAUUUCUGAAAAGGUUGCUUAUAAUAUUUCACAUGUGCAGUUUCUAUGCUAAUUGUUUUUCUUCUUGGUCCUGAUAUUGGUACUUAUUGCCCUUUCUUCUCUUUCCUCAAUAUUGCCAGAGUUUUGGCAUUAGUCUUUUUAGAUAUAAACCUUUGGCCUUAUUAAUUUUCCUCAUUGUAUAUUAGUUUUUAUUUCAUUGACUUUUUUAAAAAAAUUCUUU